UCAUGACUGAAUUCUCAUUUUUAGGUGAACUGUACCUUUAAGCUAAUAUAAUGAAGGCAUGUCUGCUGGUUUGGGAGUGGACCUGAAGCGGGUCAGUGGGAGAAAGAGCCAUGUGGUUUGGGGACUUGACCUGUGCACGAUUAAGAAAAAAACCUCAUAAAAAAUAUCAAACCUUUGACCAUCGCAAGAAAAGGUCUGCAAGGGAUGGAACACACACUUUGGGAAAGGCCAGCACCUCUGACAUCUAAUCUUUAAUUGUGGAUGGAUUUAUCGCUGUGUUUCCAAAAGCACAGAGAUAAACAUUCUGAUAUGGCCUCUGGACCGCAAUGAGGGCACCAGGAGUUAUGGUUAUGCAACUUCCUGUGACCUCAUCAGUCAGGACACAUCUUUGAGUAACAGACGAUGAUGAUGUGCUUUGAACAAACAGGUCUAAAUGAGUCGCACGUCGUUCUCUUGUAUAUGGUGUGAUUUUGACUCGAGCAGCUAGGGGUAAUGACUUUAAUGUGGUUUUAGCAAAAUGAUUCACGGCGCUGUUGUGUUAGAUAAUGAUUUGAAAAUGUUUUGUAAGACAUAAUGCAUUUCUCACUUCUUGAUAUAACUCUAACAGCUGCCUGUCUGUCUGUCUUUUAAUUUAACUAAAUAUAAUUUAUUCAUUAAUUAACCUUUGGCUUAGUCUCU
This 678-nucleotide long non-coding RNA is filed under the name Danio rerio (zebrafish). RNAcentral describes it as "lncRNA (ENSDARG00000117354.1)". Lineage: Eukaryota; Metazoa; Chordata; Actinopteri; Cypriniformes; Danionidae. The record is from RNAcentral.